GCUUGCUCCUUUGACGUUAGCGGCGGACGGGUGAGUAACACGUGGGUAACCUACCUAUAAGACUGGGAUAACUUCGGGAAACCGGAGCUAAUACCGGAUAAUAUUUCGAACCGCAUGGUUCGAUAGUGAAAGAUGGUUUUGCUAUCACUUAUAGAUGGACCCGCGCCGUAUUAGCUAGUUGGUAAGGUAACGGCUUACCAAGGCGACGAUACGUAGCCGACCUGAGAGGGUGAUCGGCCACACUGGAACUGAGACACGGUCCAGACUCCUACGGGAGGCAGCAGUAGGGAAUCUUCCGCAAUGGGCGAAAGCCUGACGGAGCAACGCCGCGUGAGUGAUGAAGGUCUUCGGAUCGUAAAACUCUGUUAUUAGGGAAGAACAUACGUGUAAGUAACUAUGCACGUCUUGACGGUACCUAAUCAGAAAGCCACGGCUAACUACGUGCCAGCAGCCGCGGUAAUACGUAGGUGGCAAGCGUUAUCCGGAAUUAUUGGGCGUAAAGCGCGCGUAGGCGGUUUUUUAAGUCUGAUGUGAAAGCCCACGGCUCAACCGUGGAGGGUCAUUGGAAACUGGAAAACUUGAGUGCAGAAGAGGAAAGUGGAAUUCCAUGUGUAGCGGUGAAAUGCGCAGAGAUAUGGAGGAACACCAGUGGCGAAGGCGACUUUCUGGUCUGUAACUGACGCUGAUGUGCGAAAGCGUGGGGAUCAAACAGGAUUAGAUACCCUGGUAGUCCACGCCGUAAACGAUGAGUGCUAAGUGUUAGGGGGUUUCCGCCCCUUAGUGCUGCAGCUAACGCAUUAAGCACUCCGCCUGGGGAGUACGACCGCAAGGUUGAAACUCAAAGGAAUUGACGGGGACCCGCACAAGCGGUGGAACAUGUGGUUUAAUUCGAAGCAACGCGAAGAACCUUACCAAAUCUUGACAUCCUUUGACAACUCUAGAGAUAAAGCCUUCCCCUUCGGGG
This 964-nucleotide ribosomal RNA is filed under the name Staphylococcus petrasii. RNAcentral describes it as "bacterial SSU rRNA". It matches the Rfam family "Bacterial small subunit ribosomal RNA", at positions 78 to 1026 of the family's 1533-position model. Lineage: Bacteria; Bacillati; Bacillota; Bacilli; Caryophanales; Staphylococcaceae. The record is from RNAcentral.